GACGAACGCUGGCGGCGUGCUUAACACAUGCAAGUCGAACGGAAAGGCCCUGCUUUUGUGGGGUGCUCGAGUGGCGAACGGGUGAGUAACACGUGAGUAACCUGCCCUUGACUUUGGGAUAACUUCAGGAAACUGGGGCUAAUACCGGGUAGGAGCUCCUGCUGCAUGGUGGGGGUUGGAAAGUUUCGGCGGUUGGGGAUGGACUCGCGGCUUAUCAGCUUGUUGGUGGGGUAGUGGCUUACCAAGGGUUUGACGGGUAGCCGGCCUGGGAGGGGGACCGGCCACAUUGGUACUGAGAUACGGCCCAGACUCCUACGGGAGGCAGCAGUGGGGAAUAUUGCAGAAUGGGCGGAAGCCUGAUGCAGCAACGCCGCGUGCGGGAUGACGGCCUUCGGGUUGUAAACCGCUUUCGCCUGUGACGAAGCGUGAGUGACGGUAAUGGGUAAAGAAGCACCGGCUAACUACGUG
Molecule: ribosomal RNA, 468 nt
Filed under: uncultured bacterium
Lineage: Bacteria
Description: partial 16S ribosomal RNA
Rfam family: Bacterial small subunit ribosomal RNA
Source: RNAcentral